Haemorhous mexicanus (house finch) is the source of this 6646-nucleotide long non-coding RNA. RefSeq lists it as uncharacterized. The record is from RefSeq and is a predicted model, not a curated record. The transcript has 2 exons. Lineage: Eukaryota; Metazoa; Chordata; Aves; Passeriformes; Fringillidae.
AACAAAAAGCACCAGGACUCAGUAUUUUCAUAACUUUUGGGACCUCUUGCAUGGAGAGGAAGGGGGAGAGAAGGUGGAUGCGGAGCAGCCACAGCCAGCGGGUUUGUGCCUGUCGAUUUACGCCUUGGAGCUUCUCUCACUGGGUGGACCUGAACAAGCCGGUGCUGCCAUGCCAGCUUUUCCAUGUGGGAGAAGUGUUCGCUCUGGCAGGUGUGAAAGCAGCUGGGGAGUCAGGGUGAGCGGGUGCCAAAAGACUGCUGGGGUCACAGACCGUCUGGGAUGCACACAGCAAGUUUGGUGCUAAAACUUUUCUAUGUUUCUGUGUUCAGAGACUGAAAACCCAAGGGAUCUUGAACUUCCUAGUCCUUUAAACUUGCAGAUCAGCAUGGAUACUGGAUGAAAUCUUAGCUGCUCUAUAAUUUCAAUGAAACCAGAGUUUUAAUUUGUAAGGGGUGAAUAAAACCAAGGAAAUAGUUGUGGUUUUGUGACUAUUAAAAGAGCAUUCAUUGUUUGACUUACAGGACUUCCUAAAUCUGUAAGAGUACAAGAACAGGAGGUUUUCUUUUACUUCUAGGCCGGAUAGUAUGCAGCAGACUGCAGAGAUCUAAACCCAUAGCUAACAAACAGCAUGCAUCUGAGGUAUUUCUCAUGUUCUUUUCUAAAAGUCUAUUUCAAUUUCCUCAUCCGCUCUUGCUACUUCUCCAGGUACUUUACAAAGUCAAAAAAAUAUUCUUUUUACAAACAUGUGUUCUACCUGAUUUCUCACUAUGCAUAUGAAGAUACAGCAUAUUUAGAAAAAUAUUAGGAAAAAAAUGUGUGAAAAAUAAAUGCUGUACAAUUUGAAAACACAUAUAUUUGAACAAAUGUUAAUAGAUUUUUUUCACAAUUUUUCAAAUUUUACUUUUGCCAUCUCUAAUUAGCUUUUCUAAAGAGCAGUUAUCUUUCUGUAAAAUGUUGAAAUGUGUUUAAAAAAUACAUUACUAAAGUAUGCUACUUUGCAUAAUAUUCCAUCAAAACAGUUCUCUGCUUUUUAAAUUGUUUGGUUCUUGCCAAAUGCCUGAAAACAACUUCAAGUUCAUCAGAGAAGAAAUUGUCACUGGUUUUUGGGAGUCGAUUUAAUGGAUUGCUUUGUGAGACACAUCUGAGAUUUCUUAAUUUCUGCACCUCAUGUUGAAAUAUAAAUAGGUAUUUUCUAAAUGUCCAGUGUAUUUCUAUGGAAGCACUUGUGCCAAAACUGACUAUUGUACUGCAAACAUCAUGAACCGCACCACAGUUUCAUCCAAAAAUUGAAGACCUGGCAUUUUGCCAUCCUGUGAAAGAGCAGAUUGAGGUUUUGCUAACAUUGCCUUGAGACUGAAAAAAUAUUAUACAAAGAAAUUUACCCUGAGUAUAACCUGAGCAAGUCUGGAGUUCUUGGUAUUUUGUUGUUCAUUCAUUGCACAGUCACUACUUGGUAUAAGUUAACAAAUAUAUAACACAAUGAAAUCACUCCAACACCCUGGGUUACAAGCCUAAUUCCUUCUAAAGCCACUGUAGAAACAAAACAUUGAAGCAGAACUGUGUAGUUUCUUUUCUUUAGCUUUAUGAGACCUGCACUUUUAAUUCAGGUCUGUGUUUGUGAAGAUGAAGUCUGUGAAACAGGACAGGGCUGCCCUGGUACCUCAUGACUCAUCUGAUUUCAAAAGGCAAGGAGCCCAGUGUAGUAACCACUAGUUCACUCAUGCUGUAUUUACUAACGUGUGGGAAUGCAUUAAUCUCAUAAAUAGAGUUGUCCAUUUUGUAGGAAACCAAAGAAUUAGCUGUAUAACUAGUCCAUCUCCAGUGCACCCAAUAGCCUUCUGGAAAACUCAAGCUGUAUUUCUAACCCUGUGAUUUUUUUAUUGCUCUCAAAUCAUUGCUAGACAAUGUCCUUCAUUUUAUGUUGUCCCAGGGACUUGGAAAGAGAUUCCAGUGAGAAAGUUUCUCCCCUUCCUACUAUUGAAAAUAUAAAAUCUAACUAUAGGGUUGAAGUAAAAAUAGUAGCAUAGCAAGCACCAUGAAUAUGGUCAUUCUCUGUGAAUGAAUGUAACUGUGUUUUCUUUAUGGCACAAGAGCAAGUGAGCAGUGUUUAGCGUCCUGUGUCCAUAAUGGCUACAUUUAUUCCUGUGUUGUGGGCUGCGUUACGUCAGGUGUUUGCAGGGAAAAGAAAGCCUUAAAAAUAAAAAAGAAGCUACAAAUAAAAAUGGUAAGUGCUGGCACAGAGCAAAAAGGAAAAAACCAUUUAGCUAUAGUAUUUUACAUCCCAGCAUGAAUCAUUUCAUAAAUUGCAGUUUUAACUAAAACUUGAAAAAUUCACAAAUUCUGUCCUUGGUCUCUGUAGUACAAAUUCAGAAUGAUCAUUUAUUGUCAAUGAAGCUGCAUUAAAAUAAAUAAAACACUUGCAUUAAAAUAAAUGAUUUGUAGUGGCCAACACGCUAGCAGGCCCAUUAAAUUUCCAACAACUCAUAAAGUUCCACUGGGAUCACAAAUGGAUUGUGGUGAAGUUCGUGUCUUUCUUUCUUUGUGGUGUCUGAGGUUUGGGAUUUUUUCAUUCCCUCAUGCCAUCAGUCACUGGGGUCAUAGAGAGCAGUGGCAGGCAGUGUGUGGACGCCAGACCACUGAUGGUUCAGCCACAACUGUGCCUCAUGUGGCUGUGUGCUCCGCCAGCUGUGGGAGAGGCAGCUGUCUUCAGGAACACUGGGUACUCCAUGGUUCAUUUGGUUUUUUCAGAAAGUCACACCCUGCUUUUCUGGGACCAUUUCCCUAAGCCCCGAGUCCUUUAAUAUGAGCAACACAGGUAUGCAGGGAUUACUUUAAGUGAGAAAAUAUGGGAAAUGAGAAAAGACUCUGGUUGACAGUGUGUCAGGGUUUGUCAAGUCUGGGGUUGCCAGUGACAUUAAGUCUGAAGGCUUUAUCAGCAUGCUAGGCUACACCUCAGCCACCUACUCAAGGAAAUCUUUUCAGCCUAGGUGGCCUAAUCUGCUAGCCUCUGGAUUUGCAGGUUUACAGAUUACCUCGAAGUGGCAUUAUGCCACAGGGUGAUUAUGUUGCUGAGGAGACUUCUCCAGAAGUUUCCUGGAAGGUGGUGAGUGUUCUGCUUUCAUCUCUCUGAGGUACAGCUCUUGGUAUAUGGAUGAAAUAGAGGAUUUGCACGGAUGAUCACUCAAACACACCAGUGAACAUUUCUGACCUACAGUAUAUCUUUUUCUACCUUCUGGUGUUUCAAGACAAGAUUUUCACGCUCAAAAGCCUUGCAAUAUUUAUACUACAUUUGAGCAAACAAAACCAUAACAUUUUCCACAUUAUCAGAAAGGUAGAGCUGGGACUAAAAGGUCUGCUCAGUGCAUCUUAUUGAAGCAUUAUGGAUAAAAAAAUAGAGAACAAGGCAGAAAAUAGAAGCAAAAGUAAUUGUAAUUAUAUCAUUCAACCUCACAGUAUGUUCUUACCAUGCCUCUCUAUCUCCUUAUAUUGACAGUCAAUGGUUUAUUUUUGCAGAUAACAACCUGUUCCUUAUGAAAAGAUAAAAAGGAAUUAACUUCUUAGGUCAGAGGGGAGGAAAAGGUGAUGUAAUAGAGGAUGAAUAAAAAAUGUACAGAGCAAAGUAUGUCAUUCUGGUGUACUCUUUAAAUAAUACAUAAUGUUGGGGUCAGUUAAAUUGAAGGGUGGAAAAAGCAUGAAAUUACAUAAACUGAAAGUAUGAAACAGUACCAUGAAGUUAGCCUUUGAAUCUUGCUGCUGCAAGCAUUGCUGUGAAAACAAGCGUUGCAGAUUUGAAAAGAGUCUGAUGGUACCACGAAACAAGGAAACAUCCAUCAUCAUUGCAAAAUGGGAUAAAAUUUCCAUGACAGCAUUCUUCAUGCAAAUUCCUUAGGUUAAGGAAUUAAGAAAGGUUAAGGUUAAGAAAACUGCCAGUGGAAGCCAGGUACCUCAAAGCAUUUCAAGAGCUGUGUGGCUUGGCAGUGGUUGGUAGAGCCUGUGCAAGGUCCCACAGACCAAAGCAAUAUUGUUCUGACAAGGAAACUGAUAGUCCUACACUUCUCAUUCCCCAAAGUGCCUGAUUUUAAUUCUUGUCCAGUCUUACAGGCCCUUGAUACUGUGUGUGAGAGCUGGAGAAGUGAUUUGGUCUGUGGUCAACUCUGCUUUCUGAGCUGCUGAGGAUCUGAGCCAUAUCUCUAUUUUCAGGCAGCAGAAUCUCACCCACAUUCAGUCCCUUAUUUUGUCCUGAAGCUUUAGAUUCAGACUGUGUUCACCACUUAAGUCAGUCAUGGCAGUUUUGACUCACUGGUUGUGACAGCAUAGCAUUUAUUCCUUAUGAAUAUCACAUUAAUGUCUGUGUUGAAAUCCAGAGACUUUAGAUUUGCUUUUUUUUUUUCCUUUUUUUUCUUUUUUUUCCCCCUCCCUCUCUCUUGAUGUUCUAAGACUUCCAGCUGGUCAGCUUUUCUUUAAAAACAACUUCAUUUGCCAGCAUUGUGAUGAGGAUUGCCCUUCCAAUCUGAAGGUACUGGGAUGUUGGGGAGGGAAGAAAAGGUGUUGAAGAGCAUAAUGUGCAAUUUUUAAGUGCUCCGUGCACGUUCCACAUUUGCCUAUUUCAUCUCUCCCUCCUCCCCCCUCCCUCCCCACUGCAGACUCACAUCUGUCCGCCCUCUGGCUCACCUCACCCACAGCCUCCCUUCCAGGAGGAGAAUGGUGAUUUCAUUUGGAGCACACCAGUCAGGGUGCUGCACAGGCACUACACACAGGGCUUCACUCCCUAAAACUUAUAUAGCUGCAGGGCCUAAAAAUCCAACUUUUUUUUUUUCCUUGUUAUUCAAGGCUUACUGUGUCAGGUAAAUUCCUGGCAAUAGGCACUUUGAUAAUGAAGAAUAAAUAUAUGCAAUUAAAAUAAAACCUGACUAUAUGUAAUAUAAUAUUUAAUAACUUAUCAAUAUCUGUGCAGGGAGUCAGCCCUAUGGUGGGCAUGUGUGGCAUGGUAGGCAUGUGUGGCAUGGUGGGCAUCCUGUGUCUGAUGUCCACACUGUCUCCUCCCUCAAGAUCUUGCUUUGUUGAGAUAUGUAUGAUACUAUGCAGGCAGGAGGUGGCUUGUGUCUGCUGUAUUACCUUUGUGAAAUUAUUUUUUCCUUCUAUUUCCCAAUACAAAACGUGGAAGUCUGUUAAUUUGUUUCACAGAUUCAUGGAGAGGCUACCAUAGUUACUUCCCUCUUCUCAUCAGUGACAGACAUGUAGCUUCCUCAGAACUGAAGGUGGAUGACUCUGAUCAAAUGUUUCUGGUUGUGCAACCUUUGGGGUGACUCUGUCAGUUCAGUGGGCAAACCUUUGAGUCUUUGUGUGGUGCCUUGUAGAGCCAGCUGACACUGUUCAGAGUUGUCGUCCUGAAAGCAGAUCUCCUGGGAGCCCUGCUGAAGUGCAGGCCUGAUUUCAUCAGCUGUAUGAAGUGGAAAUACGUAGGAUGUUCACCUUUCCUGAAAGCCAGGUUGCUAACAGCACGCAGAAAUACGUUCCUGAAAAGCUGACUGAGGUGGGAACUCUGUGGCAGUUGGCCCCUGUCCUGAUUAGCUCGUAUUGAACAUGAAUAUUUAAUAUUUAAGGGACAGAGACAGAGAGAUUGCAUCCCCAAACUUUUGUUUUUCUGUAUUACCUAACCAAUAUGAAAUUCAGUGCAUUAUCAGGAUCUGGGGAGUCAGCAGGAAAUUUUUGGAUUCUCUGAAAUUUUGGUCCAGUGCCACCUUUUCCUUGUGAUUAUGCCAAUUUAAGAGAAGACAAUCUCUCCCUUUCCUCCUUGGCCCACACCACAGCAGCUCCAAAUCCCUGAAAACCCUAGCCUCUUAGUCUUAAAACUGCAUGCUGGCUCUUUAAUGUGGCAUAUUUGUCUGAAAGCUACUUUACUGUCUGUGUGAUAUGGUGAAGUACAAGGAGCAGGAGUGAUUAAAACCGGCUGUUUUCCCUGAGAAGUUUUGCUGAGUUCUUUUCAUUUAGUGUUCUUUCAAUAAAGAAUGAGAAAACAGUGAAAUUGAUAAGACAGCAUAAGAAUAUUCUUCUACGUAUGGAAAUUACUGCAGCAGAAUGGAAUUUCAACAGUGUUAGGAAACCAGUUCUUAAGCCAGUGCGCAGAAUUCCCUCCAACAACCUUUUAUUAAAUUAGCCUGUUGAAUUCUGUCAGGUUUUUUCAUCCUUUGGUAAUGCCAUAGGGUUUUCUGAUUAAGGGAUGGAUCUGUUUUUGUUUUUUUCCACUCUCAAUACAGAUGAGGUAAACAAAAGCCGAAGCAUUGUGAUACUUGCUUUCCCCAUAGUGUUUUUCAGGCAAAUUCUAUUGAUAGAAGGGCCUGAUCAUUAACACCCUGCUGUGGUUCAAAACUCUCUGGAACAAAUCUUUUAGAAAGAAAAACAAGUCUGAUCAAAGCAUUUUGAAGGAAAUAUUUUAAGUGAGAGUGAUUACUUGAAUGCCUCCCUGAUCUUUUGACAGAUGAUGUUUUCUUCCUCUCUGCUGGUCUUGCAAGGACUUGGCUUUCCUAGUUGGCAAUGAGGGUCUUGUUGCUGGAGUGUGCAUUUGUAGAAAGGGGCUGUCUACUGUAUCUGAGCUACAAUCAUCCUGAUCCUUUUUAUUCCCAAACCAUAAAUGAAAUUCUGUGAA